GCCGCGAUAGCGUAGCCUGGUCAGCGCGGGGGCCUGUGGAGCCCUAUGCCCGGGUUCAAAUCCCGGUCGCGGCC
Molecule: transfer RNA, 74 nt
Rfam family: tRNA
About the family: Transfer RNA (tRNA) molecules are approximately 80 nucleotides in length. Their secondary structure includes four short double-helical elements and three loops (D, anti-codon, and T loops).